This 496-nucleotide long non-coding RNA is filed under the name Pogona vitticeps (central bearded dragon). RNAcentral describes it as "lncRNA (ENSPVIG00000013769.1)". Lineage: Eukaryota; Metazoa; Chordata; Lepidosauria; Squamata; Agamidae. The record is from RNAcentral.
AUGUCCCUUUUCACGCUCAUAAACCGAGCAGUCGAAGCAAAGCGAAGCAGGACCUGGCUCAGGAGAGGACGGAAGGAGGGGGGGAGGGAGGAAGCCACACGCCAAGGGCAGCGUCCCAUCCACAGCGAGGGUUGCCAACAGGACCCGGGACGAAUAGCGAUGCCGCCGCGAGGACGUCUGCUCGGGAUGCCGGGGCGGAAGCUCUUGGCUCUGAAGAGAAGCGCUCUCUCGCCCGGGGUUGUGGAAAAGCGACUGGAUGGUCUUCGGUGGCCGCAGUCCAGGAGGAGAGAGGACCCAAGGGAGCGGAGGGAGGCUGGUCUUCGGGAUACGGGGACUGGCCUGGCUCAUGCAUAGGUCUGGAAGAAAAUAAAGGAAGACAAGGAGACUUUCCCCUCCCUUCUCCUUCAGUCAUUGAUGAACAAGCCUAAAAAUUCGGGUCAAUUGACCCCUCGAGAUACGACUUGGAGGAUCUUCCCAAGAACUUUGUACAUAGCUG